GUAGUCGGUGAUGAUGCAUUUUAAAAGUUUGCCUGAUCUCUUCGUAGCAUAUGAAGGCAACUCUAAGUCACUACCUCUUCUGAGACAC
Molecule: small nucleolar RNA, 88 nt
Organism: Eublepharis macularius
Lineage: Eukaryota; Metazoa; Chordata; Lepidosauria; Squamata; Eublepharidae
Product: small nucleolar RNA SNORD11
Exons: 1
Source: RefSeq, a predicted model, not a curated record